Molecule: long non-coding RNA, 496 nt
Organism: Cebus imitator (Panamanian white-faced capuchin)
Lineage: Eukaryota; Metazoa; Chordata; Mammalia; Primates; Cebidae
Exons: 2
Source: RefSeq, a predicted model, not a curated record
GUGGGAAUAGGAACAGCUCAAUGUGUUCUGCGGAAUACUGACAUUUUACCUUGCCUCAGUCCAGAUGGACAAUCAUGUACUUUUCAAACUUAUGUUGCAAAUAUAGCUGUUAAUCUGUGAGGCCAAGACAUAAUUACACCAUGGGAUAUGAGCUUAUGAAUGAGCAAAUUGAUAGUCUAGGAUUUAAAAUGUUGAAAAAGAUGGCUUAUCAGAGCGGAAAAGGCUUAGGAAAGUCCCUGAAGGGAAGCCCUGAUACAUUAUCUAUAACUGGGCAAACAGAAAACAGCUCAGCUUUCCGAAUUUCUAAUAGGGGUCAUUGAUACUUAUCCAUCCACCACUUUGCCAUUAAGAUGGCUGACUGAUAAACCAGUAUGGGUGGAUCAAUGGCCCCUAUCACAGGAGAAACUGACUCCCUGCUUCAUCAGUUAAUAAAAGAACAAUUUAAUGAAGGACAUAUAGAAGAGUCAGCCCUUGGAAUUCACCAGUAUUUGUGAUU